RNAcentral lists this long non-coding RNA (1318 nucleotides) under Mus pahari (shrew mouse). RNAcentral describes it as "predicted gene 13571 (MGP_PahariEiJ_G0003282.1)". The record is from RNAcentral. Lineage: Eukaryota; Metazoa; Chordata; Mammalia; Rodentia; Muridae.
AAAGCAAAAAAACUCACCCCCACUAUGGAGUUUCGUGACAACCACCUCCACGUCUGCUAAGGAGUGCAUGCUGAUGAGGUCUGCACCGAAGGCUUUGCAUUUCAAACGUGCUGCAUCCCAGGAACCACUUUCAUUCCCCAGCAGAUAGCAAAACCCAUUAUUUGGCAGCCAGCCCACGUGGCAGUGGGUAUCUGACCCUCAAAUGGUUCUUCCUUGAGUCACAAGCUUCUGGAAAACGGGGAGAUGUGAUGUCCGCUAUCAGAGUGACAUGAAUUUUACGCUGUGCUUCCUAUGUAUCUGGCAUUAUAAGAAGUCCUGAGGAGAUUCAGGCACGAACUGUCCCUAUUCUGAGACACAUAAGGUCGGAGAUUUGGAAGGUCACCUCCACCCACGUCUCUGAGAGUAGGCAGACUCAAGCCUUCUUCUCUAAUGUGACCGGCUUGAAGCCAAACGUGUAAAGCAGGCCUUUGGGGUCUUGCAAAGGAGUUUCGUUAAGAAAGAAGGAGGGAAGCUCCCAGGACCCAGACAUAAGCGUAUCUUCAGUGGUGGAUGUUUAUGCUGGGUGUUGGCAAAUGAAAAGAGUCAGCGUAGUGAUUGGGAUGGGGGCGUGGGAGAACAGCUGCCCAGGUAACACUUAGACUGUCUUGCAGAUGAUUGCAAGCAGAGAGCCUUGGACUGAAGGAACAGUGAGUGAUGACAAGCCUGAUAAUUUAUGCCUAAAUUGAGCCACAGAAGAACUCUUCAGCUGCACCAGAAAGGCUGUAAUCGCCCCAACCUACAACAGCCCUAACCUGGAACUGUCCUGGCCUUGGGACUGUCCUUGGGACUGUCCUGGCCUUGGGACUGUCCUAGCUUUGGGACUGUCCCAGCCUUGGGGUGCAGGUCAAGCAGCUCAAGGUGGAAAAAUUCUCAGGGUGAAGGCAAAUUAGGAAGUGUUCCUGCCUGGGGCAUGUGGGGUUCUCUUUGGAGUUUUAGGGGGACCUGGUUGGUUGUAGGUCCUGAGAAGGCCAGUUACAUAGGAAAUAUGAUGAGUCCAAACAAUCCAAAUCUAUCACCGCAUCUAUGUAUUGAAAACAACAAUAAACCUCAAAAGAAGUAACUAAGUAGAUGCAAGACAGGCAGAAAGAAAAAAAAACACUUUAGGAUUUCGAGGGAUUCACUAAAGUGGUCACCUCUUGUUUCUGGAAAAAGAUUCCCAGUGUCAAUCAAUCACUAAUUGCUAAAAUUGAAAGGCUUUUGGGGAAUGAUAUUUUCAUUAUAUACAAAAUAUAUAUCAUAAUAUAUAGUAUAUAACUAAAUACAUAAUAUAUCAUAUAUU